GACCACGUUUUUCAAGGGGCUGAUGUUCUGCGUUUCACUCAAGGUCACUUAGAAGCAUUGAGAGCUGCCAUCCUUGCCCAGUUUGCCACCUCCUUGGCCCUCGGGGAGGAGGCGAGCCUCUCAAGGGACCCAGUGGUUUGGUUGAAGUAAAUCCAAGUCACCAGAGGCCGGAUAUGACCCCAAAGGGAAGUUUCAUCAACUUUCAUUUCCAUUCACUCCUGGGCCACUGGCCUGCCGGGGAUACUGCUGAGCCGUCAGAAAUGAGUCAGGAAAACUUUGAAAAGUGUGGGUUUCCCCCGCAGAGCCCAGAACACCCCAGAGACAUCGCCAACACUAAGAUGGGCACAGGAGCAACCGUUCCAAGAUGGUACCUUUCUGGAAUCCACGUCCUGGGAGACAUUACACCUUCUGUCAAGAACACCUGAGGUGGCAACUUAGUCCCCGCUCUCCCAGCAUCCAGCCCAAAGUCACCAGGCCCUGGAGAUGAAGGAGGCAGAUAAAGAUGGCAAUGGAGUGAAGGGCGGAGCUGUGCAAGGGUUGCCCGGGGCAACAACGCCAGCACCCAGCAGUGAAGCAGGCCAGGUAGGGUUUCUGGAUUUAGGGUCUCUGGAGGGGCGUUGAGGGAAUGAUGCCUUAAGAUGAAAUCCAGUUUUCUUACCACUUUGGUUGCCUGGGGUGGCCAAGAAAAUUGGCUAUGUUUUACUGCCAUGGGCUAGGGGUUAAGGCGGUGGCAGGGAAGGAAAGUGGGGAUCCUGGCCUGGCUUAGAGGCUCCCCACAUGGGUGGACGGAAGCAACUGGCAGGAGAAGGGGAGCCAGAGAGCCGCCUUCUGCCUAUAAAUGCUUUUGGGGCUGAGAGAGCGUGGGUGUCCCCUUGCCAAGGAGACCAAUAUCCCUGCCAGCUGGAUCUGAUCUCUUAGGUCACGUUUCAGCUGCACAGAGGGCUCCAUGCAAUGUGUGCCAGAGUCAGAAACACCACAGGUGUUGUUCAGCCAAAUGCUUUCCCAUGCAAUAUAUGUC
RNAcentral lists this long non-coding RNA (1018 nucleotides) under Sus scrofa (pig). RNAcentral describes it as "lncRNA (ENSSSCG00055008092.1)". The record is from RNAcentral. Lineage: Eukaryota; Metazoa; Chordata; Mammalia; Artiodactyla; Suidae.